RNAcentral lists this ribosomal RNA (770 nucleotides) under uncultured archaeon. RNAcentral's name for it is "bacterial SSU rRNA". It matches the Rfam family "Archaeal small subunit ribosomal RNA", at positions 115 to 883 of the family's 1478-position model. The record is from RNAcentral.
UCUGGAGCGCGACAACCUCGGGAAACUGAGGCUAAUCGUGCAUACCGCUCUCAUGCUGGAACUGCAGAGAGCUCGAAAUGCCCCGGCGCCAGAGGAUGUGGCUGCGGCCGAUUAGGUAGACGGUGGGGUAACGGCCCACCGUGCCAGUAAUCGGUACGGGUUGUGAGAGCAAGAGCCCGGAGACGGUAUCUGAGACAAGAUACCGGGCCCUACGGGGCGCAGCAGGCGCGAAACCUUUACACUGCACGCCAGUGCGAUAAGGGGACUCCAAGUGCGAGGGCAUAUCGUCCUCGCUUUUCGCUACCGUAAGGAGGUAGCAGAAUAAGAGCUGGGCAAGACCGGUGCCAGCCGCCGCGGUAAUACCGGCAGCUCAAGUGAUGACCGCUAUUAUUGGGCCUAAAGCGUCCGUAGCCGGCCACACAAGUCUAUCGGGAAAUCUCCCCGCUUAACGGGGAGGCGUCCGGUGGAAACUGUGUGGCUUGGGACCGGGAGACCAGAGGGGUACGUCCGGGGUAGGAGUGAAAUCCUGUAAUCCUGGACGGACCACCGGUGGCGAAAGCGCCUCUGGAGAACGGAUCCGACGGUGAGGGACGAAAGCUCGGGUCACGAACCGGAUUAGAUACCCGGGUAGUCCGAGCCGUAAACGAUGUCUGCUAGGUGUGCCACAGGCUACGAGCCUGUGGUGUGCCGUAGGGAAGCCGAGAAGCAGACCGCCUGGGAAGUACGUCCGCAAGGAUGAAACUUAAAGGAAUUGGCGGGGGAGCACAAUC